RNAcentral lists this ribosomal RNA (830 nucleotides) under Pristionchus maxplancki. RNAcentral describes it as "SSU rRNA". It matches the Rfam family "Eukaryotic small subunit ribosomal RNA", at positions 58 to 917 of the family's 1831-position model. Lineage: Eukaryota; Metazoa; Nematoda; Chromadorea; Rhabditida; Neodiplogasteridae. The record is from RNAcentral.
UCUAAGAACAUAUGUGUAAACAUGAAUCUGCGAACGGCUCAUUAUUAACACCCGUAAUCUACCCAGUUUUCUUAUCCAAAACGGAUAUCUGCGUUAAUUUUGGAGCUAAUACGUGCACCAACGAGCUGCUAGCAAUAGUGGCUCGCACUUAUUAGAUCAAGGCCGAUUGGGGCAACCCUUUUGGUGACUCUGAAUAAUUUUGCGGAUCGUACGGUCUUGUACCGACGACGUACUGGUCGAGCGGGUGCCCUAUCAACUAUUGAUGGAAGUCUAUGUGUCUUCCAUGGUUGUAACGGGUAACGGAGAAUAAGGGUUCGACUCCGGAGAGCUAGCCUUAGAAACGGCUAUCACAUCCAAGGAAGGCAGCAGGCGCGUAAAUUACCCACUCUCAAUUCGAGGAGGUAGUGACUAUCAAUAACGAGACAGAUCUCUUUGAGGUCUGUCAUUGCAAUGAGCACAACUUAAAGACUUUAACGAAGUCUAUGGGAGGGCAAGUCUGGUGCCAGCAGCCGCGGUAAUUCCAGCUCCCAACGUGUAUAUCGUCAUUGCUGCGGUUAAAAAGCUCGUAGUUGGAUCUUAGCUCAUGCCGGUAGUUCUCCAUGUGAGAUACUGCUCGGCUGAGCUGUUUCGCCGGUUUUCCGUAGUUUCGGCUGCGGUGACUGGUGUUGUAACUUUGAUUAAAUCAAUGUGAUUAAAACAGGCGUUCGCUUGCAUGCUUUAUCAUGGAAUAAUAGAAUAUGACUUCGGUCCAUUCUGUUGGUCUUGGGAUCGAAGUAAUGAUUAAAAGGAACAACUCGGGGGCAUCCGUAUCGCUGCGUGAGAGGUGAAAU